UUUUUUUUUUUUUUUUUGAGAUGGAGUCUAGCUCUGUUGCCCAGGCUGGAGUGCAGUGGCCAGAUCUCAGCUCACUGCAAGCUCCGCCUCCCGGGUUUACGCCAUUCUCCUGGCUCAGCCUCCCGAGUAGCUGGGACUACAGGCUCGCCACCUCGGCUAGUUUUUGUAUUUUUUUUAGUAGAGACGGGGUUUCACCGUGUUAACCAGGAUGGUCUCGAUCUGCUGACCUUGUGAUCCGCCCGUCUCGGCCUCCCAAAGUGCUGGGAUUACAGGCUUGAGCCACCGCGCCCGGCCGUAGGCAUCUCUUUCUUCAAGGCAGCCCCCAGCCCUGCCCAGCCCAGGCUUGGCCGAGUAUCGCAAGGAGCACUGUAAGGAGAGUUAUUCCUAUUUCAGAGCCUCUGGGAACAGGCCCUGAUCUCCUGCUGUGGGGCAGAGAGGGUUCGGCUGGCGGCUCUGAGCGGAAGCCACCUCCACUUAAUGCCGGAGGGAAUGAUCUCAAACCUCCGUCUCUGGGCAGGGUCAGCCCCAUGCCCAGUCUGCGUUCUGACAGGUUGGAGACAGAAAGACACCAUCCCUCCGGAUCCUGACCAUUCUGAAGCCUCGAGCUCCAGGAGCCUCCUGGGAUCUUAGCCAUGGCUCUGGUGAAACCUCACCCUAAUCCCCUUCUCGUGGCCCCCAGUCUUCUAGACACUCAUUGCUCAAUCCCCUGCAUGAGUUAUUUUCCCAGUUGCCGUUUCUGUCUGAUUGUGAAAUUUUCUUUCCUCCAAAAAGCCACAUGCCUAUCACAUGAGGGGCAUGCCGGGCCCCCAGCAGAGAGGGGGAGGGUGCUGGGAAGUCUCCUUUCCUGGACCCCGGGCUGGUCCCCGGAGUCGGGGAGUGGCUCCCCACUCCUCCCUAUAGCCAACAUCCCAGGGAGCUUUGGGUCACACUGGGGGGAAGAUCAGCGCUCACCCAAAUCAGAUCGUGACUUGGUUUUCCCCAGAGAGCAGCACCUACGGUGCCUCCACCUAAGACCUAGCUGGAGCUGGGCUCCUCAGACCCCUGGCUCUGGGGGCGAACACACCCCGCUGACCGCCAGAUCAAAGCCACACUGCAGGCUGCUGAGACAGGAACAUUGCUGCUGCUGCUGCUGCUGCGUCCGGCUGGCCACGGCCCCACACUGGGGGUUAGUUCUUUGGGGGCCCUAAAGAAGAGCUGAGCUGUUGCCUUCUGGACGUAAAGGAGCUGCUUUUGCAAAACAGACUGUAUUUGCUCCCUGCCACAACUAACCAGAAAUGAGGAAGCCACCACAGAGAAGCCUCCCUAGUCUCUGGGGCUCCGGGUUCUGUCUGCUCCCCCUCCCAGAGACCACACACGAGGAUGUACACGCAGGCCACAUUUCCUUCCAGGCCC
Molecule: long non-coding RNA, 1392 nt
Filed under: Macaca fascicularis (crab-eating macaque)
Lineage: Eukaryota; Metazoa; Chordata; Mammalia; Primates; Cercopithecidae
Description: lncRNA (ENSMFAG00000064215.1)
Source: RNAcentral